UUACGACCAUAUCAUAUUGAAACACCCUUUCUCGCACGAUCAACGAAGUGAAGCAACGUCGAGCUUGGUCAGUAUCUAGAUAGGUGACCGAUUGGGAAUACCAGAUGCCA
Acanthosepion pharaonis is the source of this 110-nucleotide non-coding RNA. The record is from the annotation of a GenBank genome assembly. Lineage: Eukaryota; Metazoa; Mollusca; Cephalopoda; Sepiida; Sepiidae.